GUGCCAGCAGCCGCGGUAAGCGCACCGCCUGGGGAGUACGGCCGCAAAGUUAAAACUCAAAGGGAAUUGACGGGGGCCCGCACAAGCGGUGGAGCAUGUGGUUUAAUUCGACGCAACGCGCAGAACCUUACCAGCCCUUGACAUGGGCGCCGCCGCCCGGGGAGACCCGGGCUUCCCCUCGGGGGGCGUCCACAGGUGCUGCAUGGCUGUCGUCAGCUCGUGUCGUGAGAUGUUGGGUUAAGUCCCGCAACGAGCGCAACCCUUACCUUCCGUUGCCAGCGGGUUGGGCCGGGCACUUGGAAGGGACCGCCGGUGACAAGCCGGAGGAAGGUGGGGACGACGUCAAGUCCUCAUGGCCCCGAUGGGCUGGGCCACACACGUGCUACAAUGGCGGUGACAGUGGGCAGCGAAGCGGCGACGCGGAGCCAAUCCCCAAAAGCCGUCUCAGUUCGGAUCGCGGGCUGCAACCCGCCCGCGUGAAGGUGGAAUCGCUAGUAAUCGCGGAUCAGCACGCCGCGGUGAAUACGUUCCCGGGCCCUGUCAUCGCCGCCCGUC
RNAcentral lists this ribosomal RNA (555 nucleotides) under uncultured bacterium. Its description in RNAcentral is "bacterial SSU rRNA". It matches the Rfam family "Bacterial small subunit ribosomal RNA", at positions 845 to 1398 of the family's 1533-position model. The record is from RNAcentral.